Molecule: ribosomal RNA, 253 nt
Filed under: uncultured bacterium
Lineage: Bacteria
Description: partial 16S ribosomal RNA
Rfam family: Bacterial small subunit ribosomal RNA
Source: RNAcentral
UACGUAGGGUGCGAGCGUUGUCCGGAAUUAUUGGGCGUAAAGGGCUCGUAGGCGGUUUGUCACGUCGGGAGUGAAAACUCAGGGCUUAACCCUGAGCCUGCUUCCGAUACGGGCAGACUAGAGGUAUGCAGGGGAGAACGGAAUUCCUGGUGUAGCGGUGAAAUGCGCAGAUAUCAGGAGGAACACCGGUGGCGAAGGCGGUUCUCUGGGCAUUAACUGACGCUGAGGAGCGAAAGCAUGGGGAGCGAACAGG